Molecule: ribosomal RNA, 468 nt
Filed under: uncultured bacterium
Lineage: Bacteria
Description: partial 16S ribosomal RNA
Rfam family: Bacterial small subunit ribosomal RNA
Source: RNAcentral
GAUGAACGCUGGCGGCGUGCCUAACACAUGCAAGUCGAACGGAAAGGCCCUGCGCUUGUGGGGUGCUCGAUUGGCGAACGGGUGAGUAACACGUGAGUAUCCUGCCCUUGUCUUUCGGAUAACUUCAGGAAACUGGGGCUAAUACCGGAUAGGAUCUUCUGCUGCAUGGGGGGGGAUGGAAAGUUUCGGCGGUGGGGGAUGGACUAGCGGGUUAUGAGCUUGUUGGUGGGGUAGUGGCGGACCAAGGCUUCGACGGGUAGGCCGCCUGAGAGGGUGGACGGCGACAUUAGGACUGAGAUACGGCGCAGACUCCUACGGGAGGCAGCAGUCGAGAGUAUUGCACAGUGGGCGGGAGCCUGAUACAGCAGCGCCGCGUGCGGAAUGACGGCCUUCGGGUUGUAAACCGCUUUCGCCUGUGACGAAGCGUGAGUGACGGUAAUGGGUAAAGAAGCACCGGCUAACUACGUG